GACCAUCUCCUAACUAUAAAUUUGUUCCAGUUAAUAAUUGUCCAUCAGCCCCUCCAUUUAACCGUGAGAUUAAUAGCGACAUUCAAGCUGCACUAAUUAAAGCUUGGCCCAGUAUUAUGGGUAAACCAAACCUAAAAUUUUGGGAACAUGAAUGGGGAAAACACGGUUCAUGUACCACAGAUUUAUUACCAACUUCUAAUGACUACCUACUGAAAGGAGUUUACCUGUGGGAGCAAAUCAAGUUUCAUGAUUUGAUGGGUGUGGGUCCGGGUGCCCAAUUUAUGCCAAAUACUCAAUAUGAUGCGAACACGGUGAUGGCGGCCAUCACAAGCAAAUACAAGGUCAAAACAAUGCUGACCUGUCAGGGUGGGGAAAUAUUGGAUGUUAGGUUUUGUUAUUUAGGACCUUGGGUACUGGUAGAUUGCCUGGACACCCAACCACCUCCCGGUACAGUUUGUACAGGUUUAAUUUAUUAUCCUAGAAUAUAGUAGAAGCUUGGUAGGAUUAUAUCGUUAGGGAAGUGCUGCCACCUCAAGACCUGUUUGUGUUUCUUUUGGUUUAGAAGAAAAACCAAAGUAUCUGUGCAAUUCUGAUUUAAAAUUUGAAAUAGAAAAUAGAAAUUUUUUUUUUCUUUCAUGUCCGGUUUGGUUUUUAUGAGAAAAAACGCACAUAAAUGAUGAAGAGCCUCACGUUCAACUCACCAACCGUCUAUCACUAUACCCCAGAUUUGAACUCCAACCUGGUAUUCUGCAAAAUAUAUGAGUCAGAUCUGGAGCUUCCUUAGGCCACGACUAGAAGCCUCAUUGAUUAGGCCACGAGCUUCCUUGCUUGUAGAGCCAAAAAAGAACCAAACUUGGGGUUUAUUUGAUUUGUUACUAUUAAAUUAUUGAUGCGUAACCCAACAAGAACCCUCGCAAAUUGGACUUUUCAGAGGGAAGGAAAGAGACCAAAGAGCAGAGAGAGAGAGAGAGAGAGAGAGAGGCGGUUUUGAACCAGACUCUGUGGUUUUCAGAAUGAUGAUACGUGCACUCUGUGCUGCUGGAAAAGCUGAUGUGCCAAUGGAAUUUGACAAGGAAAUGGUACAGAAGGACAUCGGACACCGACAGAAGCCUGAGGUUUUGUAUCUGGAAGCCUCUAUCUAACUUCAGUUAAUUUGAUUAUGAUGCAGCCCAAUUCAAGUUUUGUUUUUGUUUUGCAGUUUUCUAAGGUUGAAUUGCUCCCAAAAGGCUUGGAGAUCCGGUUUCUUUCACAGAAGGGCAAUUGAUUCCCUUCUUCAAAACAACUGAAAUCUAAGGAAAUGCUUGAAUAUUUUUACAUAGCUGUUUAUUCUCACUGAAUUCAGAAGAAGAGGCAGAGAAUAGAAAGAAGCACAAUCUGAUACAGUGCUUGACAGUCAAUCUAUAAGUGGCAGAGGGGCUCAAAUGCCUGUAAUGUAGCAGGGAAAUCUCCCCAUAGUGGCCUUAAUCUGGACGAUAUUCUUCAGUUUAAUAAUUCAUCAAACAUAUCUGUCUUGGGCUGAUUUCGAUAAGAUUGGACAAGGUGGUUUUGGGGUUGUUUUCUAUGCCAAGCUGACAAGCGAGGAUGAUACUAAAAUUGUGACAGCUUCUGGUGAUCAAACUGUUAAGGUAUGGGAUAUCAGGAAAAGAAAUGUACUGCAGUUCUAAUGGGCAAUAUAGUUAUACUAUUUGUUAGUAGGUGGAGUUCUGUUUUGAGCAUAAUGGUGUUGUUCCUGUUUGUUUAAGCAGAUUCUGUAUGCAAGCAAGUCUGCCAUUACCCUGAUCCUGUAACAAGGAAAACAAAAUCUAUUGACCUAUUGAAAGAUGGAAAAGAUCAUUUGGUUAAAGCUUUCAUUUCAAAACCACUUUAUUUUGAAUCUCUAAUAUAGUUUGGUUCACUAUUUACCUUAGUGAAAGUGCAUGGGUCAGUAUUCUAUGAGGAAUAAAGCUUUAUUGAUUAGCUAUUUCUUAUUCCACUUUAUGCUAUUCUGAUUUGCGCAAAUAUCUAGGGUUGCAAGUUUGAAUGAAUUCUGUAGUUACUAUACUAGAGAAGCAUAGAGCUUGAAGAAUGGUUUGGGUUGCUUUACUUGGGACUUUUAGACGUUUUUGUCAUGCCAAUUGAAGCUUCUUACUACAUUUCUAAAAAAGAUGAAGAUCCUCUGACCCUUUGUAUUGUGUAUAACAGUCCCUUUGUAUUGUGUAUAACAGUUUUUCAAAAUAAGUUCAAUAUAAAUUUCAUUUGCUUCUCUUUCUAAA
Molecule: long non-coding RNA, 2252 nt
Organism: Rosa chinensis
Lineage: Eukaryota; Viridiplantae; Streptophyta; Magnoliopsida; Rosales; Rosaceae
Exons: 8
Source: RefSeq, a predicted model, not a curated record